UUUUGGGGUGAUUAGGCCUUUCCCUGAGUUGGGUGUGCUUAAUGAACUGUUGGGCUCCGAGCAACCCUAAUUUGUUUGGCCUCGGCCAACCCCACCUGGACUGGGUGUAUCAUCUGGUAUCAGAGCUAGGGCCCAUUUUAAGAAGGUGGGAAUGAUUAGGACAUCCUCCACUAUUACCCGUUGGCAAAGACGCAAUUGGCCCAGUUGGCCCAAUUGUAGUCGGACGGUGACCGCGUGAGCCUCAGAAUUAUCCCACCUCGAUUAACUUGGGAGGAGGAAGCCAUUUUAAAAGGGAGAGCCACCCUUCCCCCAUUGUACUAGUCUUUUGGGGCGAUUGGGCCUUUCCCUGAGUUGGGUGUGCUUAAUGAACUGUUGGGCUCCGGGCAACCCUAAUUUGUUGGGCCUCGGCCAACCCCACCUAGGCUGGUGUAUCAUCUGGUAUCAGAGCUAGGGCCCAUUUUAAGAAGGUGGGAAUGAUGAGGACAUCCUCCACUAUUACCCGUUGGCAAAGACGCAAUUGGCCCAGUUGGCCCAAUUUUAGUCGGACGGUGACCGUGUGAGCCUCAGAAUUAUCCCACCUCGCUUAACUUGGGAGGAGGAAGCCACUUUAAAAGGGAGAGCCACCCUUCACCCAUUAGACUAGUC
This 645-nucleotide long non-coding RNA is filed under the name Zea mays. RNAcentral's name for it is "long non-coding RNA (ZMAY_LNC001442)". Lineage: Eukaryota; Viridiplantae; Streptophyta; Magnoliopsida; Poales; Poaceae. The record is from RNAcentral.